RNAcentral lists this unclassified non-coding RNA (18 nucleotides) under Chlamydomonas reinhardtii. Its description in RNAcentral is "small RNA Cre_1112". Lineage: Eukaryota; Viridiplantae; Chlorophyta; Chlorophyceae; Chlamydomonadales; Chlamydomonadaceae. The record is from RNAcentral.
CCGGCCACACCUGGCGGU